UGCCCCAUGGCUGAGUUGGUUACAGCGUCCGACUGUUAUUCAUGUCAUAUAGGUUGUUCAUAUAGCUAUCGGAAGGUCGUGAGUUCGAGCCUCACUGGGGCAG
Non-coding RNA from Marasmius tenuissimus, 103 nucleotides. NCBI's taxonomy places the organism in Eukaryota, Fungi, Basidiomycota, Agaricomycetes, Agaricales, Marasmiaceae. The record is from the annotation of a GenBank genome assembly.